RNAcentral lists this ribosomal RNA (378 nucleotides) under Staphylococcus aureus. RNAcentral's name for it is "bacterial SSU rRNA". It matches the Rfam family "Bacterial small subunit ribosomal RNA", at positions 1157 to 1533 of the family's 1533-position model. Lineage: Bacteria; Bacillati; Bacillota; Bacilli; Caryophanales; Staphylococcaceae. The record is from RNAcentral.
GACAAACCGGAGGAAGGUGGGGAUGACGUCAAAUCAUCAUGCCCCUUAUGAUUUGGGCUACACACGUGCUACAAUGGACAAUACAAAGGGCAGCGAAACCGCGAGGUCAAGCAAAUCCCAUAAAGUUGUUCUCAGUUCGGAUUGUAGUCUGCAACUCGACUACAUGAAGCUGGAAUCGCUAGUAAUCGUAGAUCAGCAUGCUACGGUGAAUACGUUCCCGGGUCUUGUACACACCGCCCGUCACACCACGAGAGUUUGUAACACCCGAAGCCGGUGGAGUAACCUUUUAGGAGCUAGCCGUCGAAGGUGGGACAAAUGAUUGGGGUGAAGUCGUAACAAGGUAGCCGUAUCGGAAGGUGCGGCUGGAUCACCUCCUUU